UUAGGUUGGCGCAAACGUAAUUGUGGUUUUUGCCAUUGAAAGUAAUGGCAAAAGUUGCAAUUACUUUUGCACUAACCUAAUA
This 82-nucleotide microRNA precursor is filed under the name Aotus nancymaae (Ma's night monkey). RNAcentral describes it as "miRNA (ENSANAG00000008146.1)". The record is from RNAcentral. Lineage: Eukaryota; Metazoa; Chordata; Mammalia; Primates; Aotidae.